Unclassified non-coding RNA from Panthera pardus (leopard), 327 nucleotides. Its record names the gene 7SK. It matches the Rfam family "7SK RNA". Rfam says of the family: 7SK was discovered as an abundant small nuclear RNA in the mid-70s but a possible function has only recently been suggested. Two independent studies have found that 7SK RNA binds the CDK9/cyclin T complex (known as elongation factor P-TEFb). P-TEFb activates transcription by phosphorylating the C-terminal domain of RNA polymerase II. NCBI's taxonomy places the organism in Eukaryota, Metazoa, Chordata, Mammalia, Carnivora, Felidae. The record is from Ensembl.
GGAUAUGAGGACGAGCUGGCUGUGACAUCUGUCACCCCAUUGAUGGCCAAGGUUGAUUUGGCUGAUCUGGCUGCCUAGGUGGGUGUUGCCUUCCUCCCUUAUGGCUCCAUGUGUGUCCCUCCCAAAGCUGCCCGCUCACCUGUGUGAGAGGACAACCUUCCCCAGUAGAGGAGGAUAUUUCUUCAGUCAAUGGUGUUCGGAUAACUCCUCCGCUAGAACCUCCAAACAAGCUCUAGAGGUCCAGUUGUAGAAGGUGGGGUCAGUCAAGCUUCUGAGAUUCCAGAUACCUCCAAAUGAGGUGCUGCAUGUGGCAGCCUGCCUUUCUCA